CUACGGGACGCUCCAGUGGGGAAUCUUGCGCAAUGGGCGAAAGCCUGACGCAGCAACGCCGCGUGCGGGAUGAAGGCCUUCGGGCUGUAAACCGCUUUCAGCAGGAACGAAAAUGACGGUACCUGCAGAAGAAGGAGCGGCCAACUACGUGCCAGCAGCCGCGGUGACACGUAGGCUCCAAGCGUUGUCCGGAUUUAUUGGGCGUAAAGAGCUCGUAGGCGGUUGAGUAAGUCGGGUGUGAAAACUCUGGGCUUAACCCGGAGACGCCAUCCGAUACUGCUCUGACUAGAGUUCAGGAGGGGAGUGGGGAAUUCCUGGUGUAGCGGUGAAAUGCGCAGAUAUUAGGAGGAACACCGGUGGCGAAGGCGCCACUCUGGACUGAAACUGACGCUGAGGAGCGAAAGCAUGGGUAGCAAACAGGAUUAGAUACCCUGGUAGUC
Molecule: ribosomal RNA, 440 nt
Filed under: uncultured bacterium
Lineage: Bacteria
Description: partial 16S ribosomal RNA
Rfam family: Bacterial small subunit ribosomal RNA
Source: RNAcentral